UACAGAGGAUGCAAGCGUUAUCCGGAAUGAUUGGGCGUAAAGCGUCUGUAGGUGGCUUUUUAAGUCCGCCGUCAAAUCCCAGGGCUCAACUCUGGACAGGCGGUGGAAACUACCAAGCUGGAGUACGGUAGGGGCAGAGGGAAUUUCCAGUGGAGCGGUGAAAUGCAUUGAGAUCAGAAAGAACACCAAUGACGAAAGCACUCUGCUAGGCCGACACUGACACUAAGAGACGAAAGCUAGGGGAGCAAAUGGG
This 253-nucleotide ribosomal RNA is filed under the name uncultured bacterium. Its description in RNAcentral is "partial 16S ribosomal RNA". It matches the Rfam family "Bacterial small subunit ribosomal RNA", at positions 524 to 776 of the family's 1533-position model. The record is from RNAcentral.